AACGACCGCUGGCGGCAUGCCUAACACAUGCAAGUCGAACGAGACCUUCGGGUCUAGUGGCGCACGGGUGCGUAACGCGUGGGAACCUGCCCUUAGGUUCGGAAUAACUCCCCGAAAGGGGUGCUAAUACCGGCUAAUGUCUUCGGACCAAAGAUUUAUCGCCUUUGGAUGGGCCCGCGUUGGAUUAGCUAGUUGGUAGGGUAAAAGCCUACCAAGGCGACGAUCCAUAGCUGGUCUGAGAGGAUGAUCAGCCACACUGGGACUGAGACACGGCCCAGACUCCUACGGGAGGCAGCAGUGGGGAAUAUUGGACAAUGGGCGAAAGCCUGAUCCAGCAAUGCCGCGUGAGUGAUGAAGGCCUUAGGGUUGUAAAGCUCUUUUACCCGGGAUGAUAAUGACAGUACCGGGAGAAUAAGCUCCGGCUAACUCCGUG
This 433-nucleotide ribosomal RNA is filed under the name uncultured bacterium. Its description in RNAcentral is "partial 16S ribosomal RNA". It matches the Rfam family "Bacterial small subunit ribosomal RNA", at positions 29 to 507 of the family's 1533-position model. The record is from RNAcentral.